UCAAUUCCACUCGGGCCUGGCAUCUCAUCUCUCUCCCUCACCCUUCCUUCUCCACCUCCGGCCGCCGCCAUGGCUAGGCCGGCGUGGUGGUGCGCCUCCGCACCAUCAGCACACCCACCACAAACAUCCACCACUCACCACCAACUUCAUCCACCAGCGCCACCAUCUCAAGCCACCGCCUCACCUCGCGCGCCCGACCAGACAAGGGCGAGCACGGGCGUCUGGUCCUCCGCGUGACCUCUCCCUCUCCGCCGAUCCUCUCUUCCUGAUGCCCCUGCUGCUCCUUCUCUUUGCGCAUCCUUUGCUGAUUCUCUGCUCUGAACCUCAAGUUGCUGCUGCCACUUCUUCUUCUCUGAACCCAAACUCUAAUGUUCGCUGCUCCUCUUUCUUUGCUGGUGCUUCUUCUUCUCAUGCCUCCUGCUGCUUCUCUCCUCAUGUCCCUGCUGCUUUUCUCCUCACAUCCCUGCUGCUGCUCCAUUCCCAAUCUUGCUGCUGUUCUCUCUCUCUCUCUCUCUCUCUCUCUCUCUCUCAAAUUUCUAUAAUCUUCAGAAGUGUUAUAACUAAUACUAUGUAAUGUUCAGUCUUGAUAAUUGUAGUAUCCAGCUGCUUGGCUCAGUUUCGAAUUUAUAAUAUAAAUGCUUAAUUAGUAUGGCCUGAGUAGUUCAUACCUUGUCACUUAGAGAAGUACUUGAUCUGUUAUACUUUGUUUAGUGAAAUAGUAAUCUUCAUAUGUGUGUGGUGUCCUGUGAGAUAUACAUAUGUGUGUGUUUGUGAUGUGAUACAUAUAUUCUGUCCUACAACCUUGUUUCUUCCCUCUGUCAUACUUGUUGUUAUUAUACAUAUUCUUGUCUUGCUGAUUUCCUUUUGUUGUUUAAGUAGUAACACCUGUGCUAGUAUUAUAGUUUCUCAAGUAAUGAAAAUACCAAAAAGAUAUUGAGUAAAAUCUGAAUUUCCCUUUGCUAUUUGUCAUUUUCUUUGUCAAUGAUCUUUGGGAACAACCUUGUUAGUUUAGGUUUUAUUUUCAGUUUUCAUCACCCAAUUCUGUGUCACCUAGCUUUAGCCGAGCGUCGUCGCUGAUCGUCUAGGCCCUAAGGAGAACUUCGACAUCCACAGUUUGGGUGAAAUAUCCCGCUGUAUUUCAAUUGAUCAUUUUGGCGCCGUUGCCGGGGAGUAGCGUCGAGUGACCAUGUUAGGCUAUAGACUAGGUUUUACUUGUUUUUUCUUUUGUGCUAUAUAUGUGUGUGUGUGUGUGAUAUAUCUCUAACCCCUAACCCUUGUUCCAGUUAUUUUCUCUUUCUUUUCUUGGUUAUUCUGCAAGUUAUUGCAUCUUUUCAGAUAUGGCUUACUAUUCAGAUCAUCAUGCUUAUGCGAGCAACACUACAAAUAGCACAGAAAGUAUUCAAGAACUGAUUAGUAAGAUUUCCCAUCGAUUAGAUGAUUUAGCUCGGCAGUGAGAAGUAGUUUUUGAAGAUAGGCCUAGCUCUUAUGAUCCUUAUUCUAGAGGCCAUCCUUAUGUUGCUCCUACAUGCCAUAUUUGUGGAUUUCAGGGCCAUUCACCCGCUGAAUGUCAGUGUGGUUACUCUCACUCUCCCGAUUGUUAUGGCAUGAGCUUCGCCCCACAGCCUAGCUCAUACCAAAACAAUUGCUCAUAUGGGUGGCCUGAAAAUUAGAAUAUGUCAUAUAGGAGCAACAACCCUGAGAUGUCACCAUUUGCUUCUAGUAAUCAUAUGCAGGGAUUUAGGUACAAUGAGGAGAGCAACAACUAUGCGCCUUCUAUUCACCUCCUAAUCAUAUACCUCAACACCAGGAGAUGUUGCCAAUGGAGUUAAAUGGUCCUCCAUUUGGUCAACCAACACCUUCAACACAAGUGCCCACACAAGAUGACUUUGAUGAUAUAGACAAGCUCACAUUGCUUAGUCUCGAGUUCACUUGGAGUGCCGAAGAUGAUCCAAUUAGGCCGGUGAUACUAGAGGAAAUGAAGAAGAUCAUGAGUGGAAAAGAGCUAGUGGAAGAAGUAAGGAAGAUUGAGAAGAACAUUAACGCUGGCAGCACUAUUUCUUCACAGCUUGAGCUGAGUGUUUCUGGGAUAUCUCUUGAUACAUGUGAGGUUCCAACACCUUCAUAAGAGAUACUUCAUAUCCAAGAAGAAAUUCUCGAAGUCAAGGAACAAGAUGGAACAGAGCUUGAAUGCCCAAGUGAUCAAGAUGAAGAUCCGUUGCCUAUCACUCCCGGAGAAGUAAAAGAAGUUGUUGUAGAUGAAGAUGAAGAACCUGAGAUUCAUUUGCCUAUUGUCAUACAAGAGUGUGAUUUGUCAGGUUCAUUCAAUCCUCUUAAUGACAUGUCUCCAUAUGAUUUGUUUGCUACUACCUUGCAUUGCAUGAUGCCAUCACUUAAGAUUGAUUUGAAAACUCAUUUGCUUGGAUAUGAUGAUAUAUACCCUGUUAGUGGCAGUACUCUCAUUUGUGAUGAUCAUAGUUACUUUCCUCGUGCUAGUCCUAUGCUUAAUUAUAAAUAUCAUCCUUAUGUUAGUAUUGAGCUUGUUGAUUCGUAUCAUACUUGUCAUGUUCUUUAUAGCCAUGCUUAUGUAAUUGGGUACUCUAUUGAUGAUUUAGAGGGCAUUACCCCUUUCACUUGUAUGGUCUCUUUUGUCGAGUGCUCUUUCAGGUUUUUGCUACUGCAUCGUUCACUACAUGCUGACCAGGUUCGAGGUGACAUUCCUUGGGACCCCGGUGGAUUUAGAGCAUGGUGAAGAGGAGAAGCAAUGGGCACAUACAAGGAAGAGAGAAGCUGGAGCAUGCACGAGGAUAGAGAGCAUGAGGAUAGAGAAGCAAAAGCAGGGGAGUCACAAUGCAAGAGAUGUAGUUGGUGAGAUGAUCGAGCGAGUGCUACUUCAUAGUGCCCGGUGAGCUGUUUCAUGACCCAUUCUGAAGUCUGAACAUCAUAAAUACAUGCUGAAUUCAAUUGCUAGUUGGGUUGCUUGAGCCAGUUAUUACUUGUUGUCAAGCUAAAAUUCACCUUUGGCAUCGUGCUUGAUGUGAAUUUGUGAACUUGUUUUCUGAAUGCCUUGUAAACUAGUGAUCUACACCAUGCAUGCUUGGCUGAAAUUAGUGAGAACUAUUAGUUUUGAGUGCUCAAAUCCCUAGUACACCAGAAAACUUCAUCAUUUUCUGCAUUUACUAUGAUACACCUAGAUCACCAUGUUUAGAUGCUGAAUUUGUGUUGAGUGUGUUCCCAUUCAGAGCUAUCACCUAACCACUAUGGACUAGUAUGCUAUGUUCCUUGGAGCGGUAGCAUGUGAACCAGACAUGGAGAAGUGAUGAUUCCUGUUUUUGUGCUUAUAUGUGUUGUUCAUUUAAGAUAAGUAAUAAUGAAUGAAUAAAUAAGUCUAACUAUCUACAGUAGCAUGUCAUGUUCCCUGGAUCGGUGGCAUGUGAAAUCGGGUUAGCUUGGGUAGUAAUUAAUAAUAAAAAAUGUAAUUGUCGAACCAGGUGUAUACCAUGUUCUCUGGAUCGGUGGUAUGUUCCUUUGGGGAGGCAAACAAAAAAACUAAUAAUUGGUCGAGCCGGGUGUAUACCAUGUUCUCAGGAUCGGUGGUAUGUUCCUAUGGUGAGACUAAUAAUAAUAUAAUCAUUGCUUUAUCUCUGUAAAUAAGUGUUUUAAUCACAAGAUUUAAUUCCAGUUCUUUUUGUUCUCGGGAUAAUGCUCUCUUUACGAACCAUUUGGCACAGUCAUCAUUUAAACUUGUUGAUCCUCUUUUAUCAUUGUAAAAGUUUAAAAUGGUCAUGCUUACUAGUAUCCUACUACUUUGUAGAACUCUUAACCAUUGAUUUUCACUAGCAAAGUUCAAAGCAUGCAUUGUUUGGAGAUCUACUUCACUGGGACAUUCUCUAGUCAGUUCGCUGUUCACUACCUUGCUCUUGUCAAAUGCCGUUACUUGAGGACAAGUAAAGAUUUAAGUGUGGGGGAACUUGAUAAGUACAUUUCCUAUUCAUAUUUUGGCACACAAACACACCAUUUAUUGUGAUCCGACGAUCCAUUCUUGCCGUGAACUAUGAUAUAUUUGAAUGAAAAUCAUUUAAAAGACCAUUUACUCGUCAUUUGAUUAUUUUGCAGAAAAGUGCGCAAAGGCACUAUAAACUUCAAGAUUCGGACAAGUUGGCUAUUGAGAAGAGAGAAGGGCGGGAAAGAAGUGAAGAAAGGGAGUUGAGCGAGAAGAAUUGAAGUAAUCAAGGGGUCAAGCUAUAGAUGGCAGGACCAACUUCGGAAGAAAGAAGAGAAGUAGCAGGGCCAAAUCGUAAAGUGGCAGAUCAUAGGAGGGGAUCAAAAUCCCUAGCGCAGCCUCAAUUCCCCUCCGGCCUGGCAUCUCAUCUCUCUCCCUCACCCUUCCUUCUCCACCUCCGGCCGUCGCCACGGCUAGGCCGGCGUGGUGGUGCGCCUCCGCACCAUCAGCACACCCACCACAGACAUCCACCACUCACCACCAACUUCAUCCACCAGCGCCACCAUCUCAAGCCACCGCCGCACCUCGCGCGCCCGACCAGACAAGGGCGAGCACGAGCGUCUGGUCCUCCGUGUGACCUAUCCCUCUCUGCCGAUCCUCUCUUCCUGAUGCCCCUGCUGCUCCUUCUCUUUGUGCCUCCUUUGCUGAUUCUCUACUCUUAACCUCAAGUUGCUGCUACCACUUCUUCUUCUCUGAACCCAAACUCUAAUGUUCGCUGCUCCUCUUUCUUUGCUGCUGCUUCUUCUUCUCACGCCCCCUGCUGCUUCUCUCCUCAGGUCCCUGCUGCUUUUCUCCUCACGUCCCUGCUGCUGCUCCAUUCCCAAUCUUACUGCUGUUCUCUCUCUCUCUCUCUCUCUCUCUCAAAUUUCUGUAAUCUUCAGAAGUGUUAUAACUAAUACUAUGUAAUGUUCAGUCUUGAUAAGUGUAGUAUCCUGCUGCUUGGCUCAGUUUAGAAUUUAUAAUAUAAAUGCUUAAUUAGUAUGCCCUGAGUAGUUUAUACCUUGUCACUUAGAGAAGUACUUGACCUGUUAUACUUUGUUUAGUGAAAUAGUAAUCUUCAUAUGUGUGUGGUGUCCUGUGAGAUAUACAUAUGUGUGUGUUUGUGAUGUGAUACAUAUAUUCUGGCCUACAACCUUGUUUCUUCCCUCUGUCAUACUUGUUGUUAUUAUACGUAUUCUUGUCUUGCUGAUUUCAUUUUGUUGUUUAAGUAGUAACACCUGUGCUAGUAUUGUAGUUUCUCAAGUAAUGAAAAUACCAAAAAGAUAUUGAGUAAAAUCUGAAUUUCCCUUUGCUGUUUGUCAUUUUCUUUGUGAAUGAUCUUUUGGAACAACCUUGUUAGUUUAGGUUUUAUUUUCAGUUUUCAUCACCCAAUUCUGUGUCACCUAGCUUUAGCCGAGCGUCAUCGCUGAUCAUCUA
RNAcentral lists this long non-coding RNA (5416 nucleotides) under Triticum aestivum (bread wheat). RNAcentral describes it as "long non-coding RNA (TAES_LNC010362)". The record is from RNAcentral. Lineage: Eukaryota; Viridiplantae; Streptophyta; Magnoliopsida; Poales; Poaceae.